RNAcentral lists this long non-coding RNA (454 nucleotides) under Polistes fuscatus (common paper wasp). RNAcentral describes it as "uncharacterized LOC122513667". Lineage: Eukaryota; Metazoa; Arthropoda; Insecta; Hymenoptera; Vespidae. The record is from RNAcentral.
CUAAUAUGUCAGUUCAAUCUCGACAGAUCUGGUUCGUUUUUUCGGGGAUGGGAUCACAAUGGAUCGGAAUGGGUGAAUCACUAAUGAAAAUACCAAUCUUUGCCGAAGCAAUAAAAAAAUGUGAUGUAGUUUUAAGACCUCGAGGUUACGAUAUUGAGCAUAUUAUAUGCGAUAAAAAUCCAACAAUAUACGAUAAUAUUAUAAAUUGCUUUCUGGGAAUAGCAGCAAUACAAAUGGUUGCUUUACUGCUGAGGAAAUGAUUUUAAGCGCUCUUUCUCGUGGUUUGGCUUCAGUAGAAAGUGAUUUGAUACACGGAACGAUGGCCGCAGUUGGUCUCGGUUACAAACAGUUGCGGCAUUUCUGUCCUGAAGACAUUGAUAUUGCUUGUCAUAAUGGACCCGACAGUUCUACCAUAAGUGGACCUACCGAGUCCAUAAAAGCUUUUGUAAAAGAA